Molecule: non-coding RNA, 24 nt
Filed under: Arabidopsis thaliana (thale cress)
Lineage: Eukaryota; Viridiplantae; Streptophyta; Magnoliopsida; Brassicales; Brassicaceae
Source: RNAcentral
AAUCCCGAUGAAGCCCGAGACUGC